RNAcentral lists this ribosomal RNA (741 nucleotides) under uncultured bacterium. Its description in RNAcentral is "bacterial SSU rRNA". It matches the Rfam family "Bacterial small subunit ribosomal RNA", at positions 46 to 833 of the family's 1533-position model. The record is from RNAcentral.
GCUAACCAUGCAAGUCGAACGCUCACCUUCGGGUGGGAGUGGCAGACGGGUGAGUAACACGUGGGAACGUACCCUUUGGUUCGGGACAACUCUGGGAAACUGGAGCUAAUACCGGAUACGCCCUUUUGGGGAAAGGUUUACUGCCGAAGGAUCGGCCCGCGUCUGAUUAGCUAGUUGGUGGGGUAACGGCCUACCAAGGCGACGAUCAGUAGCUGGUCUGAGAGGAUGAUCAGCCACACUGGGACUGAGACACGGCCCAGACUCCUACGGGAGGCAGCAGUGGGGAAUAUUGGACAAUGGGCGCAAGCCUGAUCCAGCCAUGCCGCGUGAGUGAUGAAGGCCUUAGGGUUGUAAAGCUCUUUUAUCCGGGACGAUAAUGACGGUACCGGAGGAAUAAGCCCCGGCUAACUUCGUGCCAGCAGCCGCGGUAAUACGAAGGGGGCUAGCGUUGCUCGGAAUCACUGGGCGUAAAGGGCGCGUAGGCGGCGUUUUAAGUCGGGGGUGAAAGCCUGUGGCUCAACCACAGAAUGGCCUUCGAUACUGGGACGCUUGAGUCUGGUAGAGGUUGGUGGAACUGCGAGUGUAGAGGUGAAAUUCGUAGAUAUUCGCAAGAACACCGGUGGCGAAGGCGGCCAACUGGACCGGCACUGACGCUGAGGCGCGAAAGCGUGGGGAGCAAACAGGAUUAGAUACUCUGGUAGUCCACGCUGUAAACGAUGAAUGCUAGCUGUUGGGAUGCAU